GGUUUGAUGGUCUAGUAGUAUGAUUCACCCUUAGGGAUGUGGUUACCUUGGUAAAAUGCAUGGAUCUGGGUGAGGUCCCGGGUUCAAUUCCCGGUCAGACCC
This is a non-coding RNA of Cronartium quercuum f. sp. fusiforme G11, 102 nucleotides long. The record is from the annotation of a GenBank genome assembly. Lineage: Eukaryota; Fungi; Basidiomycota; Pucciniomycetes; Pucciniales; Coleosporiaceae.